This 642-nucleotide long non-coding RNA is filed under the name Chrysolophus pictus (golden pheasant). RNAcentral's name for it is "lncRNA (ENSCPIG00010005052.1)". Lineage: Eukaryota; Metazoa; Chordata; Aves; Galliformes; Phasianidae. The record is from RNAcentral.
AUGCGGCACAACGCGCGGCCCCUGGGUGUGCUGGCAGCCGUUGCCAAGGGACUCCUCCUGCUCUGGGCCGUGCCUGCUCACAGCACUCAGCCCCCAUCCCCGCAGCAGACCCAGGCCUUGCUGCGGCACAUGGCCGAGGAUGCACACGAGCUCUUCAAACUCUACGAACAGGAGCAGCACCUGGCCCAUAACUUGUGCCGGGCCAACAGCUCUCUGGAGUGGCUGCGGGGGACUUUGGGGACACGAGAGAAGGAUCUGCGGGCACUGCACGGCACCAUGACCCGCAUGGAGCGGGAGCUGCAGGACAUUUUCCAGCACCAGAGCAAUCUCCAUCCACCCGAUGCCACCAUCCUGCACCGCCUCCGCAGCGCCCGCAUGAAGGUGCGCGGGCUGCUGGCCCACCUGCAGGACACCAUGGAGGCCCGUGGCAUCGUCCCCUCCACCAUCCCUCCAUCCCGGGGGCCGGCGGCCAGCAAGGUUUUCCAGCAGAAGCUGCAGGGUUGCCGCGUGCUGUGGAAUUACGCCCACUUCGUGGCCAAGCUCAGCGCCCGCAUGGAGCGCAUGGAGAGCACGCGGGCACGGCGCGAGGAGAGGGGCCGGCGGCGAGGACGGCGGCGGGGAUGGAGGACAAACAGACCCUAA